RNAcentral lists this ribosomal RNA (499 nucleotides) under Peptococcus sp. canine oral taxon 044. RNAcentral's name for it is "bacterial SSU rRNA". It matches the Rfam family "Bacterial small subunit ribosomal RNA", at positions 9 to 474 of the family's 1533-position model. Lineage: Bacteria; Bacillati; Bacillota; Clostridia; Eubacteriales; Peptococcaceae. The record is from RNAcentral.
GAGUUUGAUUCUGGCUCAGGACAAACGCUGGCGGCAUGCCUAACACAUGCAAGUCGAACGGACAAGUUAGUAGAAAUUUUUCGGAAUGGAAACUAAUGCGUUAGUGGCGGAUGGGUGAGUAACGCGUGGAUAACCUGCCUCUAAAUGGGGAAUAACUACGAGAAAUCGUAGCUAAUACCGCAUAAUAUCUCUUUAUUGCAUGAUAGAGAGAAGAAAGACGGCCUUAGCGCUGUCGUUUAGAGAUGGAUCCGCGUCUGAUUAGCUAGUUGGUGAGGUAGGGGCUCACCAAGGCGACGAUCAGUAGCCGGCCUGAGAGGGUGAACGGCCACAUUGGGACUGAGACACGGCCCAAACUCCUACGGGAGGCAGCAGUGGGGAAUCUUCCGCAAUGGGCGCAAGCCUGACGGAGCAAUGCCGCGUGAGUGAAGAAGGCCUUCGGGUUGUAAAACUCUGUCCUUAUCGAAGAGAGAGAAGAGUAGUAACUGACUUUUCUAGGACG